Molecule: long non-coding RNA, 225 nt
Filed under: Elaeis guineensis (African oil palm)
Lineage: Eukaryota; Viridiplantae; Streptophyta; Magnoliopsida; Arecales; Arecaceae
Description: long non-coding RNA (EGUI_LNC008987)
Source: RNAcentral
CUGCCUCGAUGACUUGCAAGCAACUCAUUGUGCUUUGAUGCCGGACUAUCCAAAUUUUUAAUUCAGUGACAGAGGAUUUCUGGGUACAGUCAAAUACUUGUGAAGUCUGAGUGCGAGUCAAGAUGGGAUUGAUCGCUAUAAGUAAAAUUGGAGAUGAUGCAUCACUGUGUUUCAAUUCAGCAAAAUUUUGACCAAAGUAGUCUUAGUGAGGAGUCACAAAAUUUU